CUGAGCCGCUCCGAGCGCAAAGCGGCGGAGCGGGUCCGGAGGUUGCGGGAGGAGCAGCAGAGGGAGCGCCUCCGCCAGGUGUCGCGCAUCCUGAGGAAGGCGGCGGCGGAGCGCAGCGCCGAGGAGGGCCGGCUGCUGGCCGAGAGCGCGGACCUGGUAACGGAGCUGCAGGGCCGGAGCCGGCGGCGCGAGGGCCUGAAGCGGCGGCAGGAGGAGGCGAGUUCCGCGUGCGGCGCGCGGGCGCCCCCGGUUUCGGGAGCAGCUGGGGCGACGGGCGGUCCCGGGUGGGGCGGCCCGGGGCGGUGACCACCCUGGCGUCUUGGCAGGUGUGCGACGACCCGGAGGAGCUGCGGGGGAAGGUCCGGGAGCUGGCCAGCGCCGUCCGGAACGCCAAAUACUUGGUCGUCUACACAGGCGCGGGAAUCAGCACGGUAGGGAGGGAGGCGGAGGCGUACCCCAGGACGGAGUAUGAGCUCCAGUAAUCGCGAAAAACUCGCCUUUAAAGCAGCUCUAAGGUUUUUUCUCUUAAAGAAACGAAAUGACCAAAACUUACCUAAGGUAAACGCUUUUUAAACGCUUGGCCUCUGUGUUACAGCCAGUUAAAAAAAACAAGGAGUAGAGAUACGAAUGGGGUGUAGUAGCCGACUGCUCGCAGGCACCCCCAGGUUAUGUGGACAGAGCUA
This 683-nucleotide long non-coding RNA is filed under the name Homo sapiens (human). Its description in RNAcentral is "non-protein coding lnc-MAFG-1:1". The record is from RNAcentral. Lineage: Eukaryota; Metazoa; Chordata; Mammalia; Primates; Hominidae.